Molecule: RNase P RNA, 231 nt
Filed under: Oscillospiraceae bacterium
Lineage: Bacteria; Bacillati; Bacillota; Clostridia; Eubacteriales; Oscillospiraceae
Description: partial RNase P RNA component class A
Rfam family: Bacterial RNase P class A
About the family: Ribonuclease P (RNase P) is a ubiquitous endoribonuclease, found in archaea, bacteria and eukarya as well as chloroplasts and mitochondria. Its best characterised activity is the generation of mature 5'-ends of tRNAs by cleaving the 5'-leader elements of precursor-tRNAs. Cellular RNase Ps are ribonucleoproteins.
Source: RNAcentral
AAGUGCAACAGAAAUAUACCGCCGCAAGGUAAGGAUGAAAAGGUGGGGUAAGAGCCCACCCGGCCCAUGGUAACAUGGGUUUUACGCUGUAAACUCUAUCCCGGAGCAACGCCGUGGAGAAGCAACAGGUCUGCCCGACCGCUUCGAGGAGGCGGCUUGAUCCCGUGAGCAAUUGCGGGACUAGAUAGAUGGCUGUCAAGACAGAACCCGGCUUAUAGAUCUGCGUCGCAU